Molecule: ribosomal RNA, 440 nt
Filed under: Streptococcus mitis
Lineage: Bacteria; Bacillati; Bacillota; Bacilli; Lactobacillales; Streptococcaceae
Description: bacterial SSU rRNA
Rfam family: Bacterial small subunit ribosomal RNA
Source: RNAcentral
GACGAACGCUGGCGGCGUGCCUAAUACAUGCAAGUAGACGCUGAAGGAGGAGCUUGCUUCUCUGGAUGAGUUGCGAACGGGUGAGUAACGCGUAGGUAACCUGCCUGGUAGCGGGGGAUAACUAUUGGAAACGAUAGCUAAUACCGCAUAAGAGUAGAUGUUGCAUGACAUUUGCUUAAAAGGUGCAAUUGCAUCACUACCAGAUGGACCUGCGUUGUAUUAGCUAGUUGGUGAGGUAACGGCUCACCAAGGCAACGAUACAUAGCCGACCUGAGAGGGUGAUCGGCCACACUGGGACUGAGACACGGCCCAGACUCCUACGGGAGGCAGCAGUAGGGAAUCUUCGGCAAUGGACGGAAGUCUGACCGAGCAACGCCGCGUGAGUGAAGAAGGUUUUCGGAUCGUAAAGCUCUGUUGUAAGAGAAGAACGAGUGUGAGAG